AUGAAGUAAGGAAAUGAAAUAAUGAAUAAAGACCCAGUUUCCAGAAUCUCUCCACGAAGUAGAGAAACUCAUUCCAAUCCAGAAGAGUCUGAAGAAGAUGAAGAUGUUCAAGCUGAAAGAGUCCAAGCAGCAAAUGCACUCACUACUCCAAACUUGGAGGAGGAACCAGUCAUAACUGCAAACUGUUUACACAAGGAAUAUUAUGAGACAAAGAAAGUUGCUUUUCAACAAGAAAGAAGAAAGCAGCCAUCAGAAAUGUUUCCUUUUGUGUUAAAAAAAAGGUGAAGUUUUGGGAUUACUAGGACACAAUGGAGCUGGCAAAAGUACUUCCAUUAAAAUGAUAACUGGGUGCACAAUGCCAACUGCAGGAGUGGUGGUGUUACAAGGCAACAGAGCAUCAGUAAGGCAACAGCGUGACAACAGCCUCAAGUUCUUGGGUACUGCCCUCAGGAGAACUCACUGUGGCCCAAACUUACAAUGAAAGAACACCUGGAGUUGUAUGCAGCUGUGAAAGGACUGGGUAAAGAAGAUGCUGCUCUUAGUAUUUCAUGAUUGGUGGAAGCUCUCAAGCUCCAGGAGCAACUUAAGGCUCCCGUGAAAACUCUAUCAGAGGAAAUAAAGAGAAAGCUAUGCUUCGUGCUGAGCAUACUGGGGAACCCAUCAGUGGUGCUUCUAGACGAGCUGUUCACCGGGAUGGACCCUGAGGGGCAGCAGCAAUGUGGCAGAUACUUCAGGCUACCGUUAAAAACAAGGAGAGGGGCGCCCUCUUGAAUACCUAUUACAUGUCAGAGGCUAAGUCUGUUUGUGACCGUGUGGCCAUCAUGGUGUCAGGAACGCUAAGGUGUAUUGGUUCCAUUCAACAGCUGAAAAACAAGUUUGGUAAAUAUUAUUUACUAGAAAUAAAAAUGAAAGAACCUACUGAGGUGGAAGCUCUCCACACAGAGAUUUUGAAGCUUUUCCCACAGGCUGCUUGGCCAGAAAGAUAUUCCUCUUUAAUGGCAUAUAAGUUACCCAUGGAGGAUGUCCAUCCUCUGUCUCAGGCCUUUUUCAAAUUAGAGGCAGUGAAACAGACCUUCAACCUGGAGGAAUACAGCCUCUCUCAGGCUACCUUGGAGCAGGUGUUCUUAGAACUCUGUAAAGAGCAGGCACUGCUGGAAAUGUUGAUGAUAAAAUUGAUACAACAGUUCGAUGGAAACUUCUCCCACAGAAGAUUCUUAAAACGAAGAACCUCCUAACAUUCAAUUUUAAGUCCUACUACAUUGUUAGUUUCCAUAAUUCUACAAAAAUGUUUCCUUUUACUUCAGUUAACAAAAGAAAAUAUUCAGUAGUUUAAACAUGCAACAAUGAUUAAAGUUUUCAUUUUUAAAAAUUUUAGGAUGAAGGAAACAAGGAAAUAUAGGGAAAAGUAGUAGACAAAAUUAACAAAAUCAGACAUGUUAUUCAUCCCCAACAUGGGUCUAUUUUGUGCUUAAAAAUAAUUUAAAAAUCAUAAAAUAUUAGGUUUGUUUUUGGUUAUUAUCAAUAAAGUUAACACUGAGCACAUUUUACAAAUAAAAAUGAGUUUUUUGCCUAAAUUUCAAAUGUAUCAGCUAUUUUUAAACAUUAGUUACUCAGAUUCUAAUUUAAUGUGACAUUGACUAUAAUAAGAUCUGAUGAAAUGGCACAACAUAACAUUUAAUUAUAAUGACAUUCUGAUUAUAAAAUAGAUGUGAAUUUUAGUACAUAUUGAAAUUAUAUGGAAGAAGAUAACCAUAAUCUGUAAGAAAGUACCACAGUUAAUAUUUUCCUUAGCCAACUAAUAUUCAAUGUAUUUUUAUGGGUCCUUUUUCAAAGGUAAUAUCAGUAGGCAUAGUCU
RNA transcript from Nomascus leucogenys (northern white-cheeked gibbon), 1855 nucleotides. It is a transcript of the gene named ATP-binding cassette sub-family A member 10 pseudogene, with no coding region annotated. The transcript has a single exon. The record is from RefSeq and is a predicted model, not a curated record. Lineage: Eukaryota; Metazoa; Chordata; Mammalia; Primates; Hylobatidae.